Camelus ferus (Wild Bactrian camel) is the source of this 73-nucleotide transfer RNA. It matches the Rfam family "tRNA". From Rfam's summary of the family: Transfer RNA (tRNA) molecules are approximately 80 nucleotides in length. Their secondary structure includes four short double-helical elements and three loops (D, anti-codon, and T loops). The record is from Rfam. Lineage: Eukaryota; Metazoa; Chordata; Mammalia; Artiodactyla; Camelidae.
GAGGGUAUAGCUUAGUGGUAGAGUGCACUGUUUAGCAUGCAUGAGGUCCUGGGAUCAAUCCCCAGUCCCUCCA